RNAcentral lists this ribosomal RNA (200 nucleotides) under uncultured bacterium. Its description in RNAcentral is "partial 16S ribosomal RNA". It matches the Rfam family "Bacterial small subunit ribosomal RNA", at positions 29 to 224 of the family's 1533-position model. The record is from RNAcentral.
AGUGGACGCUGGCGGCAGGCCUAACACAUGCAAGUCGAACGGCAGCACAGGGGAGCUUGCUCCCUGGGUGGCGAGUGGCGGACGGGUGAGGAAUACAUCGGAAUCUACCUUGUCGUGGGGGAUAACCUCGGGAAACCGGGACUAAUACCGCAUACGACCUACGGGUGAAAGCGGAGGACCGCAAGGCUUCGCGCGAUUGG